GACAGUCACUGUUCUUCUCCUAAAUCUAUUAACAGUGGUGUUCCUCAGCGUUCUGUCACCCACUCUCUUCUUAUUAUUCAUUAAUGAUCUUCUAAACCAAACUUCUUGUCUUAUCCACUCCUACGCUGAUGAUACCACCCUGCACUUUUCCACGUCUUUUCAUAGACGUCCAACCCUUCAGGAGAUAAACAUAUCACGCAGGGAAGCCACAGAACGCCUGACUUCUGAUCUUUCUAAAAUUUCUGAUUGGGGCAGAGCAAACUUGGUAUUGUUCAAUGCCUCAAAAAGUCAAUUCCUCCAUCUAUCAACUCGACACAAUCUUCCAGACAACUAUCCCCUCUUCUUCAAUGACACUCAACUGUCCCCCUCUUCUACACUGAACAUCCUCGGUCUGUCCUUUACUUAUAAUCUGAACUGGAAACUUCACAUCUCAUCUCUAGCUAAAACAGCUUCUAUGAAGUUAGGUGUUCUGAGACGUCUCCGCCAGUUUUUCUCACCCCCCCAGCUGCUAACUCUGUACAAGGGCCUUAUCCGUCCAUGUAUGGAGUAUGCUUCACAUGUCUGGGGGGGUUCCACUCAUACUGCUCUUCUAGACAGGGUGGAAUCAAAAGCUUUUCGUCUCAUCAACUCCUCUCCUCUAACUGACUGUCUUCAGCCUCUCUCACACCGCCGCAAUGUUGCAUCUCUAGCUGUCUUCUACCGCUAUUUUCAUGCUAACUGCUCUUCUGAUCUUGCUAACUGCAUGCCUCCCCUCCUUCCGCGGCCUCGCUGCACAAGACUUUCUUCUUUCUCUCACUCCUAUUCUGUCCACCUCUCUAACGCAAGAGUUAACCAGUAUUCUCAAUCAUUCAUCCCUUUCUCUGGUAAACUCUGGAACUCCUUGCCUGCUUCUGUAUUUCCACCUUCCUAUGACUUGAAUUCCUUCAAGAGGGAGGUUUCAAGACACUUAUCCACCAAUUUUUGACCACUGCUUUGACCCUUUUAAGGGACUGGCAUUUCAGUGGGCAUUUUUUUUUUAUUAGAUUUUUGUUGCCCUUGGCCAGUAUCCUUCCUACAUAAAAAAAAAAAAAAAAAAAAAAAAAAAAAAAAAUCAAUGUGAUUUUCAGACACACUUCAGUCACAAGAUGAAUGCAGUCAGCUACAGCAUGACAUAGACAAGCUAUAGACAGUUGAGAGAGGAAGAAGUCAGUGGCACCCUCACCUCAGACAAGACAAAGCUAACAAUUGAUAAUGAAAGACACACUUCAGUCACAAGAUGAAUGCAGUCAGCUACAGCAUGACAUAGACAAGCUAUAGACAGUUGAGAGAGGAAGAAGUCAGUGGCACCCUCACCUCAGACAAGACAAAGCUAACAAUUGAUAAUGAAAGACACACUUCAGUCACAAGAUGAAUGCAGUCAGCUACAGCAUGACAUAGACAAGCUAUAGACAGUUGAGAGAGGAAGAAGUCAGUGGCACCCUCACCUCAGACAAGACAAAGCUAACAAUUGAUAAUGAAAGACACACUUCAGUCACAAGAUGAAUGCAGUCAGCUACAGCAUGACAUAGACAAGCUAUAGACAGUUGAGAGAGGAAGAAGUCAGUGGCACCCUCACCUCAGACAAGACAAAGCUAACAAUUGAUAAUGAAAGGUGACAUUAUUCUCUUUAAAGGACUCUAUUAUUAUUGUACCCAUGAAAGCUGUUC
Molecule: long non-coding RNA, 1685 nt
Organism: Scylla paramamosain (green mud crab)
Lineage: Eukaryota; Metazoa; Arthropoda; Malacostraca; Decapoda; Portunidae
Exons: 4
Source: RefSeq, a predicted model, not a curated record